Molecule: long non-coding RNA, 262 nt
Organism: Penaeus indicus
Lineage: Eukaryota; Metazoa; Arthropoda; Malacostraca; Decapoda; Penaeidae
Exons: 3
Source: RefSeq, a predicted model, not a curated record
AGGCCCUGGCGGACAAGUGCGACGGGAAUGGCACGGAAUACAGCGUAGGAGAGGAAUGGUGUAACGGAACCAGCGCUGUGACAUGCAGCAGCACUUGCACCGUCGUGGGAGCUACUGGGUCCUCGCUUCAGUGUGAAUCGACGACAGCUGAACCCACAACCACAGUUGAACCCACAACCACAGUUGAACCCACAACCACAGUUGAACCCACAACCACAGCUGAACCCACAACCACAGUCGAACCCACAACCACUGAGGAACC